AGCUCCAAUAGCGUAUAUUUAAGUUGUUGCAGUUAAAAAGCUCGUAGUUGGAUUUCGGUUAAGAGCGACCGGUCCGCCGUUUGGUGUGCACUGGUUGGUUUUAACUUCCUGUAGAGGACGUGCUCUGGGUUUAACGACCUGGACUCGGAGUCUACGUGGUUACUUUGAAAAAAUUAGAGUGUUCAAAGCGGGCUUACGCUUGAAUAUUUCAGCAUGGAAUAACACUAUAGGACUCCUGUCCUAUUUCGUUGGUCUCGGGACGGGAGUAAUGAUUAAGAGGAACAGUUGGGGGCAUUCGUAUUUCAUUGUCAGAGGUGAAAUUCUUGGAUUUAUGAAAGACGAACUUCUGCGAAAGCAUUUGCCAAGGAUGUUU
This 373-nucleotide ribosomal RNA is filed under the name uncultured eukaryote. Its description in RNAcentral is "SSU rRNA". It matches the Rfam family "Eukaryotic small subunit ribosomal RNA", at positions 587 to 969 of the family's 1831-position model. The record is from RNAcentral.